Molecule: long non-coding RNA, 318 nt
Organism: Acanthopagrus latus (yellowfin seabream)
Lineage: Eukaryota; Metazoa; Chordata; Actinopteri; Spariformes; Sparidae
Exons: 3
Source: RefSeq, a predicted model, not a curated record
AAUCAGCCCUGCAGAGAGCGUUCUCUUCUUCAACAGACCAAGUAGUCCUGGCUGCUUUUACUGUCUUUAUCCUUCGAAUUGUGCGGAGUGACACCAGAGACAGAGAUCAGACCUCUCCGCUCAGCCUGGCAUUGCAGCUUGACUCAGCUCUUAUGCAGGCUGCCUCCGUUCUGAAUCAUCGUGGUGUUGCGUUGGACCGUUGUGGUGAGGAGGAAGAAGAAGCUGAUCCAUCAGAUUGACCUGUAUCUGUCUGUAUUCUAACUCUCCUGAAGCUUCUUCUGUAAGUCUGCUGGGCUCAACCUAAAGGUCAAUUUAUGC